Canis lupus familiaris (dog) is the source of this 1085-nucleotide long non-coding RNA. RefSeq lists it as uncharacterized. NCBI's taxonomy places the organism in Eukaryota, Metazoa, Chordata, Mammalia, Carnivora, Canidae. The record is from RefSeq and is a predicted model, not a curated record. The transcript is spliced from 6 exons.
CGGGCAGGCGCGGGGCGACCGUGCAGCAGGCGGCGCGGCGGGCGCGGGGCCCGGGGACCCGGGAGGCGUCGGAUUCUCUGCUCCCCGCUGCUGGGCCGCCCCCCGGGGCUGGGCCGCCACGAGUCCCCAGGGUAAGAACCUGGGCUCGCCAGCCCUAACGGUAUGAACCCAGGUUCCAGGUUUAUGCUUCCAAGGAUUCCAGAACUCUUUGCAGCUCUCCACCCAGGAAGCGGCCAGACUGCUUCCCCCAUCCCUAGCCUGUCCGCCUGUCCAUUCACCUUGUGUAGCCCUCUGAGGCUCUGCUCACCUGUCCACCUAUAGGCUGUCUCUUUGCCUGAAGACUCUGCUCUUACCUGGAAGUCUGUGCCAAGGAGGGACAGAGCCAGGUGGGAAUGCAGCCAGCCAGGUCCCAGAAAGAUGUCAUCAACCUGGUCUUCCAAUACUGGCAAGCUGUGCUCCGGUGGCUUGUGCCUCAAGGACUGUUCUGGAAGGAUGAUGUCACUCAAGAUAUGAAGACCCAGAAGAUAGAGCACAUGCCCAGGCUCCAUGCCUCAGAGACCAGCAUGAGGGAUGGGUAGACAGCCUUUUCCACCAAAACCACCACGCCCAGAUUUGUCUUCUAGGGACAAGUGCAAAGAGGAACUCUGACUGUUGUUCCCUAAGCCCAGUGACCAAGGUGAACAGGGAACAAUGCUUGAACUCUGAAAUGGUUUCAGAGGUCCCGAACCAAGAGAUGACCAACCAUGGCAAGGCCCCACUGCAGGUGAGGACCUGGCUUGUCCAGGAAGGCUGAGCCCACCCAGGGCCUGUUUAUAGAGGGACGCAGGGUGAAGGAGGGAAUAUACAUUGGUUGAUAAAUAAAUGACAAGACUUCACUGAGGCUGAUGGAGAACCUUCUGGAAGAGAGGGCCUGGAGGAUGGAAGAGAACAGAGCUUUUAAUUCAGAGCCAGCUCAGUCCUGGCUCUGCCACUGCCCAGCUGUGACCUUGGACACAUUGCCUAGGCCCUUCAAAUCCCUUCUUCCACACCUGUGAAAUGGUAAUGGUAAUAAAGGCGACCCCUCUGGUGUUGCUGUGUGGCUUAAA